Bos taurus (domestic cattle) is the source of this 515-nucleotide long non-coding RNA. Lineage: Eukaryota; Metazoa; Chordata; Mammalia; Artiodactyla; Bovidae. The record is from Ensembl.
CCAGGCCCAGCACAUAGGGGGCGCUCAACCCUGAGCAGAGGAAAGACGGAAUCUGUGAGUGAAGGGACAAGCCCGUUAGGGGGCAGGUGUGAGAGUCAAGUGAAAAUGAUGGGGCCUGCGGUGCAGUGAGGAGCGAGAAGCAUUGACAAGACGCACGAUUGAUGAGAAUGCGUUUUUCUCAAUAGAUGGGAAGUUCCUCUGUCACCUUGUUGCAUGGACCACGUUGCAUCUGGCAGGCUUCCUGAAACACGUGAGUGGGCGCAGAACGGGCCCAGCUUCCUUCCUGCCGCCCUGCCCGCCGUCUGCCACGUUGGCAGCCGCCCGCAGCCUUCUCGCCCCUGCUGCUGUUGCUGCUGCUACGGCAUCAGCCGAGACCAGCCCGCCGAGAGAGUUUGCCCAGAACAGCCAGGGCUGCCGGAGCUGGGGCUCGGCUGGCUUACUCUGCCAGACAGGAAGGAGCGAGCCAGCCGGCGGAGGGAGGGAACAAGGGCUGAGCCAGCCCCCAACCUUCCCAG